This 15333-nucleotide long non-coding RNA is filed under the name Solanum tuberosum (potato). RNAcentral describes it as "long non-coding RNA (STUB_LNC006736)". The record is from RNAcentral. Lineage: Eukaryota; Viridiplantae; Streptophyta; Magnoliopsida; Solanales; Solanaceae.
GGUUAUCCCGUCCCACAACUUGACUGUCUUAGCUGGCGCCUCGCCGUGGAGACGAACAACCUCCAAAACUGGAAAUUGGUGCCUAAAGAGUGUGAAAACUAUGUAGGUCACUACAUGUUAGGCAAAUUACAAUAUCGACGUGACUGUGAGUAUGUUGCCAAGCAGGCUAUUGAAUAUGCCAAAGGCCUCAAACUAAAUAGAGAUGGAAAGGACGUUUGGGUCUUUGAUGUUGAUGACACUACUCUCUCAAAUCUUCCUUACUAUGCUCGAUCUGAUGUUCGUUUUGGGUAACAAAAAUAAAUCAUAAUUUCUUUUUUACUACGUUUUUUUAUAGGGAAAAAUGACAAAUAUGCCCUCAAACUAUUGUAAAUGGUAUGCAGAUACCCUCCGUCAUAUUUUUGGGACAUUGGUGCCCCCACCGUCCAAAAACUAGAGCAUAUAUACCCUUUAUACUAACGGAUAUACACGUGUGAUAAUCUUAUCCACCGAUCCGACAUUUAUUAUAUAUCAGAUCAACGGAUAAGAUUGCACCAUGUGUUUCUAUUUAGUCUUCCGUUAGAGUUAAGGGCAUAUAUGCUCUAGUUUUUGAACAGCAGGGACAUCAAUGUCCCAAAAGUAUGACGAAUGGUAUAUGCAUACCAUUUACGAUAGUUCAGGGGUAUAUUUGUCCUUUUCCCCUUUUUUAUAUAUAUGCAACUAGUGAUGUCAUACGUAAUUUUGUAUAUAGGACUAUAGCGUUGAACGAUACAAAGUUUAUUGAGUGGCUUGCUGAGGGAAAAUUGCCCGUCAUUCCUUCGAUACUGGGUGUAUACAAGACCUUGUUAUCUCUUGGGAUCAAGCCCGUUAUAAUUACAGGGGCUCCAGAGAAUUUUAGACAAUCAAGGAUUGCUAAUCUCAAGAAAGCUGGUUAUAGUAACUGGCUAAAGCUCGUACUAAGGUAAUUAACCGAUACUUCUAUUCAUAUCUUAUUUUACAUGACACUAUUUAAGUAUGUUUCGAACAUUUAUAUAGAUAUAGAGUAAUACUUUGACAUGAUUAUUGCAGGGGUGGAAAUAAUUCAAAAUCAGCAGUAGAGUAUAAAUCGAGCAAGAGAAUGGAGUUGGUAAAAGCUGGAUAUAGAAUUGUUGGUAAUAUUGGAGAUCAAUGGACUGAUUUAAUCGGAGAAAUCGUUGGAGCUCGUACUUUCAAAGUCCCUAACCCUAUGUACUACGUUGGUUAAUACUAAGAAAUUUUAAUUAAGCAUGCUAAUAAUUAACAAAGGAAGCAAGUAACUUUUUAAUUUUGUCACAUGUGAGAUAUGAUUAUAAGCUCACUGUUCCAGUAUAAUUUAUCAUGUAUUUGACUUUUCCUUUUUCCUUUUCCCACUCCCUUUAUCAUAAUUAAUAGUAAUAAAGAAUUGCUUCAAUUUUCUUUUUUCUCAAUUGGCAAUUGCAUUCCUUUAUUUUAAAAUUAUGAAAUGUUUUAGUUUCAUCAGUAUAUAAGGCCUCUCUAACAAAAAUUAUUUUAGGGGUAAUAAAUAUACACAUAUUGACAAAUAGGGCUAAAAUAUUUAUCGGCAUGUAUUAGUUAAUUGUCAAUGAAUUCAAUGUCAUUAUAGGCUUUAGGGACAUUUACACGCAGGGCUAAUUACCGAUAAAUUGAAAUAUAUAUUUAGCGGCAAUUAAACUAUUGUCGUAAAUAAAUUACGUGAAAGAUCAUUUUUUUUAAAUUAGUGAACGCACAAUUAACAUCUUAUUUUAUUGAGGAACUUUCGCAUAUCGCUACUCAAAAAUAGUCUAAUUACUCUCCAUAACAAACACCCACUAUAUAUUGUCAACAAUCAUUGUCAAUUGCCGCCACCAGCUCCACACUUACAAUUUAUCACCAUUGACAGUCGUCAUGAUCACCACAUGAUAUCUCUUUCCAUCACCAUUACUCAAUAUAAUCCUCGAUCAUUCGACACCAACAAUCAACAUCGCUAGCCAUCAUCACCUCUAACUGUCAUAUAAUUUUUUUAAGAAAAUAUUUUAUAAUAGUAUUGAUUAUUUUGGUAUUUUAUUUAAAUUUUAUAUUUAUUAAUUUUUAAAGAAAAAUAAAUUUCAGAUAUUCAAAUGUUGAGAACAAGCCAUUUUACUUAUUUAGUAAUCAAUUUUUUGAUACAACAGUACAUCUUAUAAAUAUACAAAUAUACAUACAUACACGAUCGUCUAAAUCUUAACAAAAAGAAAGAUGGUCUUAUACUUGCACGGAGAAGUGUGUUCUUAAGAACUACAUUAGUUCUUUGUUAGGAGAGACCCAAGAUAUAUACAGUCAAAUUAGAUAAUUAUAAUGAAAUAAUAAUAUUACAACGAAUAUAAUAAAUCAUUCCUUGAUCUUUAAGAAGAAUUAAUAUGUUUUAGCACUCACGUGGAUAAACGAGUACAGAAAGCAUAAGAAUGUUAUGGUUAUCAUCAUAUCAGAAUGUGGAGGUCUGGGAAUAUAUAUAAACAAUUGAGUACUAAAUUAUUAAACUGUAAAAAGUAAAAAUUACUCCUAUUAAAAAUACAACUUGUAAUCGUAAGUUUAACGACAAAAGUUGAACAUGUGACAUUAUAAUUAAAUGGGUUAGACGGUUUCUUAUUUUUAUUAUUAUCUCCUCUAAGGGGGUUGGUGGAAAGACAGUGGGAUGUCAAACCACGCCUGCAGGGACAUGACAAUUUAUUUAUUCGAUAAAAUUUUGAUCCGGUAUCUUUUUAUUUUUCUAUUUCAAUGUGGAAUUUUAAUUUUUUUAUUUUAUUUUAAAAUAAAUAAUGUUUCACAUCAUUAAGAAGAUAUUAAUAAUGUUUUUAAUUUUAUUCUCAUUUAAAAAAUAAAAUUUAUUUAAGUAAGAAAAUACUUUAAAAAUACAUCUUUUUCAAGGUAUUUAUUAAGAAUAAGUUAGUAAAAAUACAUCUUACGUUUUAUGGAUGAGUAAUUUUUUUAAAGGGCUUGUCCAAAUAAAAAAUAUCACUUAUUUUGAAAUAAAGGGAGUAGAAGUUUUUUGUUUAUUUCUAAUGUCGAUGCAGUUAAAUUAACAAUUAUGAGAACCAUAAGAAUACGCUGAAAUUAGGGUAAGUAAGUGUUAUUACUCCCUCCGCUUCAAAAUAAAUUAAUUUUCAACACUUAUAAUUCUAUGGUCCAAAACAAAGUAAAUUUUUCAAAGCCUAAGAUGUAUUACUUAUUUUCUUCGAAAAUUACUCAUCUCGUUAUUGAGUAUGUUUUUCAAAUAUCUCUAGAUUCAAAAAGAAUUCUGGAAGAAGCAAAAAAAUAGUAUUGACUUUAAUUAAUAUCACUAAUAAAUUUUCUUCACGCCUCAAAAAUUCAUUUACUUUUAAAUUAGAGGGUGUAUGAAUAAAUAAAAUACAUGUACGUGACCCGCAAUAUAUUGACUUGCACUCUACCUGUCCUGGCUUGGAAAGGGGAUGAUGCUUUUGCUUGUUAGUAUUUAUAAUAUUACUCAGUAUAAUCGGAAGAAUAAAAUAUUGAUCAAGAGAUCGAUUGGGAUAUAUAUUUAUAGGAUAAGAUAACUUAAUUUGAUCAUGUGGAUCACGUCCGAUACGAUUGUUACACAAAUAUAGUAUCGAGUAUCGACUAUUAUGGUCAUUUAACGCGAUUAAUUGAAAGCCGAAAUAUGCUAGUGUACAUGUUCCGGACCCAGGACCAAGUUCUAGGAUGAUUCGGUGGUCUAUGGUCGAUUUGGGUUGACUGCGUCCUUUCUCUGUUUGGCACGGUCAAAUAAUCUCAAACCAGUGUAAUAUUGUCACUUAAAAAACUUAUUGUUAAAUAAAAUGUUUUGACAGACUAAAGAUGAAAUAUGGAAAUCUUCCCAGCCGAACAUGACCUUUUUAAAAGUACAAGGACAUGAAAAAAAACAAAUCCUCAUAGAGACAAGUCUAUCCUGUCAAAUCAUAUCAUAAUUCAUGUCGUGAAACACGUGAUGACCUAGUUGUCUGAAAACUAGGUCUUACUGACACCUCAAAAUUAAGCUAUCUCAAGAGAGGAUGUAUGUGGGCAAUUUUGAUUUUGAAAGUUUCAACAUUGGGUAUGAUGGACCUGCUCUGAUACCAAGUGAAAGUGUUAUUAUUUCAUCUUAAAAGCUUAAACUAUUAAAAAAAAAAUAUUUUUAUUAAUUAAUUAUAUAUAUUCUCAACAAGCCGCUUGAUUGCUUUUGAGAGGUAGUUGAGAUUGAGGAUCUUAUAUAAGGGCACCAUAUCCGAGCAAUAUAAUCUCAACAUCUUCUUUCUUCUCUUCCAUCAAAAUGAGGUGUUUCACUAUUCUCUUCUUUUUUUCAGCUAUAGUGGUUGUGGCAUUGGCCUCUAAUGUCGAAGAGGUCAUUAGCCAAGUAGUAGAAAUUCACCGUCUAAGACCACAAACUGGUUCCGCUGGUUAUACCGUCCCACAAUUAGACUGUCUUAGCUGGCGCCUCGCGGUGGAGACGAACAACCUCCAAAACUGGAAAUUGGUGCCUAAAGAAUGUACAAACUAUGUAGGUCAUUACAUGUUAGGCAAACAAUAUCGACGUGACUGUGAGUAUGUUGCCAAACAGGCUAUUGAGUAUGCCAAAACCCUCAAACUUGGCGGAGAUGGAAAGGAUGUUUGGGUAUUUGAUAUUGAUGAGACCACUCUCUCAAAUUCUCCUUACUACGCUCGAUCCGACGUUGCUUUUGGGUAAAAAAUUAAAAACAUUAGUAUAAUAAUUUUUAUGUGUGUGUCCGCUUAUUACGUUUUCUAGUAGGUACAUAGAUAUCUAUAUAUGUAUGAGAAAUUUCAUAAAUAGCGUUAUUAAUUAGCAUCCAUGUUUGCAAAUAUAGUUAAGAUUUUGUUUUAAUCCAAAACAUAUGGAAUAGUAGUAGCAUUUUGAUUUCUAAAUGUAGUAAAAUACACUUACAACAUCGCAUCCUAACUAAAAUUUCAUAUCUGAUUGUAAUUAUAUGUAUGUACGAUCAAGUAGAUAUUCAAUGCAUUUUUGUGCAGGGCUAUAGCGUACAACAACACAAAGUUUAGUGCGUGGCUAGCGGAGGGAAAAGCACCAGCCAUUCCAUCGAUACUGGGUGUAUACAAGACUGUGUUGUCUUUGGGGAUCAAGCCCGUUUUCAUUACAGGGACCAGAGAGAAUUUCAAACAAGUUAGGAUUGUCAAUCUCAAGAAAGUUGGUUAUAGCAACUGGGCAGCGCUUAUACUAAAGUAAGCAAUAUGUUCGUAUUUUCAAUACUGUUACAUAUUUUUUUAUGUAAAUUUAUUUGACUGGACGAUGGAUGACUUUACAGGGGAGAAAAUGAUUCGGGAUCAGCAGUGCAAUUUAAAUCAAGCAAGAGAACAGAAUUGGUUAAAGCUGGAUAUAGAAUUGUUGGUAAUAUUGGAGAUCAAUGGACUGAUUUGAUCGGAGAAAACGUUGGAGCUCGUACAUUCAAAGUCCCUGACCCUAUGUAUUACAUUAGUUGAUUCUAAGCAAAUUUUAAUCAUCAAGCAAGCUAAUUAAUUAACAAAGGGGGGUAGCUUUUUUAUUUCAUGUUUUAUGUCUUUCGACUUUUCCUAUUCACCCUCACUUUGCUAUAAUAACGACUUGCUUCAACAUUUUAAUUGUUUUCUUCUUGGCAAUUUUGUUCCUUUAUCUUAAAAAAACACGCACAUCUCUAUUCAUUUAAUUUCUCAUUGUAGCCUAGACUCAAGAGGAUCAGAUCACCACAUGACGUUAAUUAAUUAAAUUGCGCAACUUAAACAAAGUGCAAUAAUGGAACAGGAAGAAAUUUCUUUUUUUUUUUGUUAUAAAAAUAAACAACCCAUACCUAACGAUUAUUGAAAUUGCUUUGUGCGAUGUGAUAGCUUUAGAUGUUGAAAGGUUUUCAUCAAAUAAUAUGAUUUUUCAUUUAUGGUAUACCUAUACAUUUUUUUAGUUUCAAAAUAUUAUUGUCCUUUUGUCUCAAAAUAUUUGUUAUUUUAGAUGUUCAUGAUAAAAUUAACUUUUUUUUUCUUAUUUUACCUUUAAUUGUAAAUACUCAUUUUUGAAGACUAAAUACACUUCAAACAUAUAUUAUAUAAAUAGAGAAAUCAAUAAAAAUAGAUUAUAUCUGAAGACAUUAAUAAGGAUAAAAUAUCAUUACUCCUAACUAAUAUUUUCUUAAAAACGUGUAAAUAAAAAAUACAACAAGUGUUCUGAGACAUAGCUAGUAGUAUAUGUCAAGUGCACCAAUAGUUAUCACAAUUAAUUUAGCUAAUGUUUGACCAUAGAUAUUUGAAAGUAAAUUUUAAAACUUUAUCAUUCAAAUAUUUUUUUCCAAGGGAUAGCUUAGUAGUAGAGUGGUCUUACCUAUUGAUCGUAAUACAACAUUAAAUUUUAAAAAUUACAAUGUCAAUAACUCAAUUUUUCAAAUUUCAACUUUAAAAUUUAUAAUUAAUCCAGAGUUUAGCUAUCAAGUGAUAUGUCGGUACAAAUUAAUAUAUUAAUGAGUACUAGGCGUAUGAGUUUGUCUGCAAUAAUUCUAAACCCAUAUUCUAUUCUAUUUUUUUCUCCAAUAAAAGCCAUAGAAAAAGACGAAUAAUUGUGAUGGGGGACUCAUUAUUAGGGGUUUGAUAACUAUACCUUGCAUUUUAUAUUGCAACUAGUACGUGCGUAUGAAACAAGACUAGUUGCACUAUUUAGAAGCAAAUAUAAAAGACAACUAGAUAAUGGUUACCAGAUUCACAUGGAUUGUAGUACAGUGGUGAAUUGCUCCACCCUUAAUCAGAGGUUUCAAGUUCGAGCUUUGAGUAUGAAGAAAAUUCUGUUGAGAGCGCCGCUCCAAAAGACACUGCAGUGUGCAAUUCAAAUUUAAUUGAGGCUCCAACACAUGUUCUAGAUACCGGAUGAAAAACCAAAAACAAAAAAAAUAAUGAUUACCCGUAUGUGUUUUGUCAAAUUAAAUGAAAUUAUCUCUUGGCCUGAUUGGUCCAUCUUUAAGUACGCUAGAGCCUAGCUGAAUAAGUGUUUUUUUAAUAUACAUGCAGUGAAAAGUAAACUAAAAAUAAUAGUAAUAAUUAAAAUCAGAGAUCAAAUCAAUUUGGCAUUAUAUAUAAAAUUUUAAAAUUUAUUUUUAUACAUAAAAAUAUUUAUUUUGAUAUAAUUUGUAAAUAUUUCUUAUACUUUUUCAUAAUUCUUAUCUUUUAACAUAUUAUUUCAAGUUUUGAGACGUAAAAUUUUGAAUGGUCCAAUGAAGGUUAUAGUCCAUAGGUAUUGGUAACUCUAAUAAAACUUGAACCACUACUAAUGCUAACAAAAAAAAAAUUAAUUCAACACUAAGAAUGACAAUAAUGUCCAAUAUUUGUUUUUUAGUUUUACAUUGACUUAAACAUUUAAAAUACAUUAUUUAAUUUUAGUUUUCUUUAAUGUUUAAUCAUGUAAUUAAUACUUAUUAGACUUAUUAGCAUGAUUUAGUACUUUUAAUCAUUUUCAUUAUGACUUAUUAAUUUUCAAUAUUUAUUUUAUGGGAUUUCAUUAUUAUUUUUUGUUGGAUAUUUUAGUGUAAUCACUUAUCUCAUAUUUUGUGUUAUUCUCUUACGAAACUCCUUAGAUAGUUGUAUUUUGGUAGGACUAAGGUAAUUAGAUGUUUGUAUGAAUAAUUUACCGGAAAACCCCGAAAAAAUUUGAUAACCCGAGUUUGAAAAAUCAAUUAGUUUUAUUAAUUUGAUUUGGUUUAUAUAUUUAAAAUACGACAUAAAUAGUUUGGUUUGAUAAUUAAAAACUCAUAACCAACUCGGCCAUGUACAUCCCAUUGGAAUAAAAAUGUUUUGGGAACAAAAAACGAUAUUGUUAAUUUUAUAAAUUUAAUAGUUGUGAGAACCAUUUUCAAACUAAGGUACGUAAAGAGCACGUAAACGAAAUUAAGAGAAAGUCAGCUAUAUUAUCAUGUUAUGACACACGUUGAUUGAGAGUCUUAUUUAAGCCACUAUAUCCAUGAUCACAAUAUCUUCUUUAUUCUCUUUCAUCUAUUUGGUUAUAUAAAAACAUGAAUAAUAUGUGGUUUUUCACUAUUCUCUUAUUUUUUUCAACUAUAGUAGCCAUGGCAUUGCCCUCCAAUGUUGGUUAUCCCGUCCCACAACUUGACUGUCUUAGCUGGCGCCUCGCCGUGGAGACGAACAACCUCCAAAACUGGAAAACUAUGUAGGUCACUACAUGUUAGGCAAAGUACAAUAUCGACGUGACUGUGAGUAUGUUGCCAAGCAGGCUAUUGAAUAUGCCAAAAAGGCCUCAAACUAAAUAGAGAUGGAAAGGACGUUUGGGUCUUUGAUGUUGAUGACACUACUCUCUCAAAUCUUCCUUACUACGCUCGAUCUGAUGUUCGUUUUGGGUAACAAAAAUAAAUUAUAAUUUCUUUUUUACUACAUUUUUUUAAUAGGGAAAAAUGACAAAUAUUCCCUCGAACUAUCGUAAAUGGUUUGCAGAUACCCUCCGUCAGAUUUUUGGGAUAUUGGUGCCCCGCCAUCCAAAAACUAGAGCAUAUAUACCCUUUAUACUAACGGAUAUACACGUGUGAUAAUCUUAUCCACCGACUCGACAUUUAUUAAAUAUUAGAUCGACGGAUAAGAUUGUCACUAUUUCGUUAGAGUUAAGGGCAUAUAUGCUCUAGCUUUUGGACAACAGGGACAUUAAUGACCCAAAAGUAUGAUGAAUGGUAUAUGCAUACCAUUUAUGAUAGUUCAGGGGUAUAUUUAUCCUUUUCCCCUUUUUUAUAUAUAUGCAACUAGUGAUGUCAUACGUAAUUUUGUUUACAGGACUAUAGCGUUGAGCAAUACAAAGUUUAUUGAGUGGCUUGCUGAGGGAAAAUUGCCAGUCAUUCCUUCGAUACAGGGUGUAUACAAGACCUUGUUAUCUCUUGGGAUCAAGCCCUUUUUAAUUACAGGGGCUCCAGAGAAUUUUAGACAAUCAAGGAUUUCUAAUCUCAAGAAAGCUGGUUAUAGUAACUGAUUAAAACUCGUACUAAGGUAAUUAACCGAUACUUCUACUCAUAUCUUAUUUUACAUGACACUAUUUAAGUAUGUUUCGAACAUUUAUAUAGAUAUAGAGUAAUACUUUGACAUGAUUAUAUUAUUGCAGGGGUGGAAAUGAUUCGAAAUCAGCAGUAGAGUAUAAAUCGAGCAAGAGAAUGGAGUGGGUAAAAGAUGGAUAUAGAAUUGGUAAUAUUGGAGAUCAAUGGACUGAUUUAAUCGGAGAAAACGUUGGAGCUCGUACUUUCAAAGUCCCUAACCCUAUGUACUACGUUGGUUAAUUCUAAGAAAUAUUAAGCAUGCUAAUAAUUAACAAAGGAAGCAAGUAACUUUUUAAUUUCGUCACAUGUGAGAUAUGAUUAUAAGCUCACUGUUCCACUAUAAUUUACUACUCCCUCCGUCCCUAUUUACUUGUCCAUAUUUCCUUUUUUUGUUGUCCCUAUUUAGUUGUCCAUUUUGACAAAUCAAGAAAGGACAACAAAUUUUUUCCUAUUAUACCUUUAUUUAUACUUCUUGAAAAUUGUAAAAGUGUAUGUUGUUUCCCUCCAAUUUAUUUCACUUGAAUUCAAAUAAGUGAUUGUAAUUUUGAAGUAAAAAGUUGUCAUAAGGGUAAAAUUGUAACUUCACUGUGCUAAUCAUUGUUGUCUUAAUUUGUGUGCCAUUUCUAAAGUGGACAACUAAAAAGGGACGGAGGGAGUAUCAUGUAUUUGACUUUUCCUUUUUCCUUUUCCCACUCCCUUUAUCAUAAUAAUAAAGAAUUGCUUCAAUUUUCUUUUUUCUCAAUUGGCAAUUGCAUUCCUUUAUUUUAAAAUUAUGAAAUGUUUUAGUUUCAUCAGUAUAUAAGGCCUCUCUAACAAAAAUACUUUUAGGGGUAAUAAAUAUACAUAUAUUGACAAAUAGGGAUAAAUAUUUAUCGGCAUGCAUUAGUUAAUUGUCAAUGAAUUCAAUGUCAUUAUAGGCUUUAGGGACAUUUACACACAGGGCUAAUUACCGAUAAAUUGAAAUAUAUAUUUAGCGGCAAUUAAACUAUUGUCGUAAAUAAAUUACGCGAAAGAUCAUUUUUUUAAAAUUAGUGAACGCACAAUUAACAUCUUAUUUUAUUGAGGAACUUUCGCAUAUAGCCACUCAAAAAUAGCCCAAUUACUCUCCAUAUCUAUAGUUUGAUAAUUACAAUUCGUAGCUACAUGUAAUAGGGAGGAGAGAGGCAAGCGAGACUGGGAGAUAGAGGAGAGAGGCGAGCGAGAGAGGGCAAAGAGUGGGAGAGAGGUGAAUUGUAUAUGUACAUCGGUUAGAUAAUUGUAUAUUAUACAUAUGCAUUUGUGUAUAUGGCAAGCGAGAUUGGGAGAGGGGGGGAGAGGCGAGCGAGACUGGGAGAGGGAGGAGAGAGGUGAGCGAGAGAGGACAAUAAUUUGUAUAAUUCACAUCUCAUUUGUAUAAUUCACGUUGUUUUUGUAUUAAUUGAGUAAUAUAAAGUCUGGAAUUUAUACAAAUAUAAUAAAACUCGAAAUAACAAAUUGAUACAAAUAUAAAUAUAUGAACUUUUAAACAUUUAUACAAAAUAUAUUAUACAAAUUACAUUAUAUAAAUUAUAUUAUACAAAAUCCAAAAACUACACGUUUAUACAAACUUUAAAAAGUUAUACACAAAAAGAUUGAAUGUAUAUGAUGACAAAACUGAAAACCCAAAGGAUAUCAUCGUCAUAUACAAUUAUAAACAAUCGUAUACAAAUACAAAUCAAACAAAGAAUUGUUAGCUGCGAAUUAUACAAAUAUGGCGAAUUAUACAUAUACAAACGUGACUAAUAUACAAACUGGUAGUCAGCCCACAUAAUUAAUGUAUAAUGUUAGUCGUGAGUGAUAAUUAUAGCAAAACUAUAGCUAUGAUGAGUAAUUAAAUAGUAUAAGUUUGUUUAACCGCGUAAUUUUCCCUAUUUUAUUUAUAGACAUAUAUUUUUUUGUCAGCUAAAAUAUCAUCAGUCUGUUGCAUGUAAAUAACUAGGUGGUUAUAUACAAUUAACAUGACAAUAACAAAUAUUUAAUCAGGCUCAAUAGAUUUUAUUAAUUAGCUAGUAAACCAACAUCUUAAUUAACGUAUACAGUGGAGAUGACCAAAUUUUCCAAGCAUAUACUUGUAUUUUAAAAUCAAAUUUAUACACAUCUUAUAUUAUGAAAAUUGUACACAGCUUACACCUCUAUACAAUAUAUUCAUUGAAACUAAUAUACUAAUAUAUGACUAGUAAAAGAUAAAUUGGAAUUGUAAACAAUUUUUUAAUGUAAUUUUCAUAUAAUUUUGAAGCAAAAGAAUUUUAAAAAACGAAUAUAAAAAUGAGAAAUUUCUAUAUAAUAAAAUAUUAUAAUUAAUAAAAAUAUUGAUAACUUACAUGUUCAAAUUGUAAUGAACUACAAAAAAAUCAAUCAAAUUGACAAAAACAAGAAUAAAAAAAAAAAAAGACGCAGGAAAAAGGAAGAAAAUAAAAUCUGAAUCAGUAUUAAUUUUUUUUUUAUAUCUAUGUAUUUUUUGUCAAAUAAAAAUCAAGAUUAUGAAAAGAGAAGAAAAAAAAUACAUAAAAAGAGAAUUUAGAAAGUGAUGUUAAAAAAAGAAAAGGAGAAGUAAGGGAAUGGACCCUCAAUAGUAUAUUUUUGACAUGGUAUGCCCCCGCCCACCUUAAAAAAUGUUAAUCCAACUUAAUUGAUCACACCUGUUAUUGCCAAAAUAUCUUGGUGUAUUCCGGACCCAGGACCCAGGACCCAGUUCUAGGGUUUUGGAUUGUUCAGUUCAGUGGUCGAUUUGGCCAAAUUGUCUUCAUUCCAAUUUCCAAUAUAUAUAUAUAUAUUUCAACUAAUACAAUUAACAUAGAACGUUACUUAACAAACUUAUAUUAUAUUAAACAUGGGAAACUGAAAAUCCUCCUUCCCAAAACCUAACAUCUUAAAAGGUAUUUUUUCAGUUUCAAAAUUAAUGACCUCAUUUUCUUUUUAGUUUGUUUUAAAAAGAAUGACUCUUUUCUUUUUUUUGAAAACAUUUUAAUUUCAGUUUUUCACAUAACAUGUUUAAUACUAGAAGAUUAAAGAACAUCUUGAUACAUUUUACAUAACUUUAAUUUUAAAUCACAAAAUAGAGAAGUCUUUUUUAUUUUUCUUCAACUCCGUAACAAGUCAAAUCAGAUCUCUUUUUUUUUUUUUUAAACGUAGAGGAGUACAAGCGCUAAGUUACAAAGUAAAUGACAAAGAAAAAAAAGUUUUUAACAAAAACUCUAAAGAGAACCACAUAAUGCUUAUCUUGUCAAAUGUUGUGAAAAACGUGAUGACCUAGCUGUUUGAUUGAUUUUUAGGAAGUUGAGAUUGAGGCUCUUAUUUAAGACACCCUAUCCUAGGUAUAUGGUCACAACAUCUUCUUUCUUCUCUUCCAUCAAAAUGAGGUCAUGUUUCACUAUUCUCUAGUUAUUUUCAGCGAUAGUAGCUGUGGCAUUGGCCUCUAAUGUUGAAGAGGUGAUAAGCCAAGUAGUAGAAAUUCACCGUCUAAGGCCACAAGUAGUAAAAUUCACACUAAUUUUAUUCAAACAUCAUACCAUUUUCAUGUGCACUAUGACAUUCAUCAAUCUACUUUCAUAAAUUUAUCGACAUACACAAAAAACAAUUUAACAAUUUUAAUACAUUAAUGGAUAAAUUGAAAAAGAAACCUUCUUAAUAGGAAAAAUCCCAAUUUCAUAUAAAAAUUAUUCAAAAUUACAGAGUAAUUAAACAAUUCAUACAAAUUGCAUACCAAUUUAAUAAUUCAUACCAUAUACACAAUUUAAGAGAUAAUCACAUCAAUGUUAAUAUACAAUUCAUACCAUUUGCAUAUCAAUAUUGUAUCAAAAUUCAUACAAUAUCCAUUAAUCCAACAUUAAAUUCAGAUUCAUACACAUUUUUUUCAGAUUUCGAACAAUAUUUACACAAACAAAUAUUUCGAAAACAACAAUAAGCAUAAUGUGAUAUAAAAAAAUCACUAUUUUGACUACUGUGAAAAUAAAUAAAAUAUAGUACUCAUCCUAACAACUUUUUUUGUGUUUUUUGGAUGUUGAUAUUUCUGAUUCCUCUUUUUUGUUGUUCUUCUUGUUGAUGGUUUUGAAGAUUGAGCAACUUCUACAUUUGUUUUUUUUUCUUUUUUCUUUUUGAUUUCACUAGCAAAAUCAGAAUCGUAAUCAGAAGGGUUUCAAUAAUUUUCCCCUUCCUCUUCUUCCCCUUUUGAUUUGCCUGGAUCGCCCUUUUCUUUGCUUCAUUUUUUUUCUCUUUCCGAUCCUUCAACUGAGAUGAACCACCCGUUGCCUGAUUUUCAAUACUCGCCGGAUUUUCAACAAAUUUAGGCGGGGGGUUGAGUUAAUAUAUUAAAAGUUGGAGCAUGAACUUCAUCAGUAGAAGUUCCUUCAACCAAUCUGGAACUCUUUCGAGGCGUUUCAAUGGGUUUCUUAGACAUGAUUUUGUUGAAAACUUAAUUGGACGGACGAUUGUGAAAAUGGUGUAGUUGGCUGGUGAGAAAAAUGGGAGAGACAAGGUGAAAGUGGGGUAGUGGGGGUGAUGGCGUGUAGAUUUGAAUAGGCGUGGAUGGAGGGUGGUGGGAUUGAGGUAUGGGAGGUUUGGAGUGUAACAUUAAACAAGGAAGUCUAAUCUGUGUAAAUCCCUUAAUAUGUGUAACUGAUGAUUUCAGUUUUAAAAAAGGAAUUGAAAUCUAAUUAAUUAAAUAUUAUUCAUUAAUAAAAUAAAAAUAUAAACAGAUUAAUCAUUUGUUAAAUAAAUUGAAAUUGAUUUUUAAAUUAAAUUAAAUAUAUAUAUAUUAUUUAUAAUAAAAGAACUUGAAAAAAUGACUAUAGUUUAUACUUAAUUAGAGAUCUAUAGUUAUAAUUUGCUUCAUAACAAUUAAUAGCUCUAGGUAAGAAAGAAGAGAAAUCUAAACAAGAUAUAUAUGUAUUUGCUUUUCUAAGAAUAUAUAUAUUCUUUAUAUCGGUAUAGUACUUAUCAUUGAAGUUAUUUAAAUUAUGAACUCCAAAAAAUCAAUCAAAUUGACAAAAACAAGAAUAAAAAAAAGGCGCAGGAAAAAAGGAAGAAAAUAAAAUCUGAAUCAGUAUUAAUUUUUUUAUAUCUAUGUAAUUUUUGUCAAAUAAAAAUCAAGAAUAUGAAAAGAGAAAGGAAAAAAAAAUACAUAAAAGGAGAAUUUAAAAAGUAUUGUUAGAAAGAAAAAAAAGAGAAGUUAUAAUGAAAUGGACCCUCAAUAGUAUAUUUUUGACAUGGUAUACCUCGCCCGCCCUAAAAUUUUCAAUACAACUUAAUUGAUCAUGUGGAUCACACCUGUUAAACAAUAUAGUAUCGACUGUUAUGGUUAUUUAAUGCGAUUAAUUGAAAGCCAAAAUAUCUUGGUGUAUUCUGGACCCAGGACCAAAUUCUAGGGUUUUGGAUUGUUCAGUGAUCGAUUUGGCCAAAUAGUCUUCAUUCCAAUUCAAAGUAUAUAUAUUUCAACUAAUACAAUUAACAUUGGAAAAAUGAAAAUCCUAUUUGCCAAAACCAGACCUUUUAAAAAGUACUUCCUCUCCUCUGUUUAAAAAAUAAUGACUUUCUUUUCUUUUUAGUUUAUUUUUAUAAAAAUGAUCUUUUCUCCUUUUUUGACACAUUUCACAUAACUUUAAUUUUAAAUCACAAAAUAGAGAAGUCUUUUUUAUUUUUCUUCAACUCCGUAACAAGUCAAAUCAGAUCUCUUUUUUUUUUUUUAAACGAGAGGAGUACAAGCGCUAAGUUACAAAGUAAAUGACAAAGAAAAAAAAAGUUUUUAACAAAAACUCUAAAGAGAACCACAUAAUGCUUAUCUUGUCAAAUGUUGUGAAAAACGUGAUGACCUAGCUGUUUGAUUGAUUUUUAGGAAGUUGAGAUUGAGGCUCUUAUUUAAGACACCCUAUCCUAGGUAUAUGGUCACAACAUCUUCUUUCUUCUCUUCCAUCAAAAUGAGGUCAUGUUUCACUAUUCUCUUGUUAUUUUCAGCUAUAGUAGCUGUGGCAUUGGCCUCUAAUGAGGAAGAUCAUCAGGUGAUAAGCCAAGUAGUAGAAAUUCACCGUCUAAGGCCACAAACUGGUUCUGCUGGUUAUACCGUCCCACAAUUGGACUGUCUUAGCUGGCGACUCGCGGUGGAGACGAACAACCUCCAAAACUGGAAAUUGGUGCCUAAAGAAUGUACAAACUAUGUAGGUCAUUACAUGUUAGGCAAACAAUAUCGCCACGACUGUGAAUAUGUAGCCAAGCAGGCUAUUGAGUAUGCCAAAAGCCUCAAACUUAGUGGAGAUGGAAUGGACGUUUGGGUAUUUGAUAUUGAUGAAACCACUCUCUCAAAUUCUCCUUACUACGCUCGAUC